AUGGAUGGAAUGCUCGAAAUGUCCAUCUGCAACGAUGCGACGACAUCCAUUGAUAUAUGGAGGACGCAGGUCUAUGAAAGAGAGGCUUGGGCCUUGAAAUACCGGGUUGAAUUGCUGGUUGCAGAGUUUGGGAACUUUAGCAAACAUUGGUGGGUGGUGGUCGUCUCUUCAGACGGUGAUGUGCUUGUGCUAGUCAAAGUUGAUGACCGGCUACUUGAGAUUAACGUGGAUGGCAAGCUGGUUGCUAGUUUCCAUCGCAGAGGUCUUGGUCCUACUCGACAUCGGCUCAAACAAACUCUAGUUUCACAUACAUUGUUUCCGUUCCUAGAAGGUUACGUUGUGAACUCUUUGCCUUUCCUUUGA
This 363-nucleotide ribosomal RNA is filed under the name Triticum aestivum (bread wheat). RNAcentral's name for it is "partial small subunit ribosomal RNA". The record is from RNAcentral. Lineage: Eukaryota; Viridiplantae; Streptophyta; Magnoliopsida; Poales; Poaceae.